CGACGCUGGCGGCGUGCCUAAUACAUGCAAGUCGAACGAACGGAGCUAGGAACUUGUUCCCGGCAAAGUUAGUGGCGCACGGGUGAGUAACACGUGGAGAACCUACCCUUUUGCGGGGGAUAACCAUUGGAAACGAUGACUAAUACCGCAUAGAAUCGCAGAUCGCAUGAUCAACGAAGGAAAGACGGCUUCGGCUGUCACAAAAGGAUGGCUCCGCGGUGCAUUAGCUAGAUGGUGGGGUAACGGCCUACCAUGGCAAUGAUGCAUAGCCGACCUGAGAGGGUGAUCGGCCACAUUGGGACUGAGACACGGCCCAAACUCCUACGGGAGGCAGCAGUAGGGAAUCUUCCGCAAUGGGCGCAAGCCUGACGGAGCAACGCCGCGUGUGUGAAGAAGGUCUUCGGAUCGUAAAGCACUGUUGUUAGAGAAGAACGACCGCUAGAGUAACUGUUAGCGGAGUGACGGUAUCUAACCAGAAAGCCACGGCUAACUACGUG
Molecule: ribosomal RNA, 497 nt
Filed under: uncultured Facklamia sp.
Lineage: Bacteria; Bacillati; Bacillota; Bacilli; Lactobacillales; Aerococcaceae
Description: bacterial SSU rRNA
Rfam family: Bacterial small subunit ribosomal RNA
Source: RNAcentral